RNAcentral lists this ribosomal RNA (504 nucleotides) under Bacillus sp. (in: firmicutes). RNAcentral describes it as "bacterial SSU rRNA". It matches the Rfam family "Bacterial small subunit ribosomal RNA", at positions 111 to 600 of the family's 1533-position model. The record is from RNAcentral. Lineage: Bacteria; Bacillati; Bacillota; Bacilli; Caryophanales; Bacillaceae.
UAACACGUGGGUAACCUGCCCAUAAGACUGGGAUAACUCCGGGAAACCGGGGCUAAUACCGGAUAACAUUUUGAACCGCAUGGUUCGAAAUUGAAAGGCGGCUUCGGCUGUCACUUAUGGAUGGACCCGCGUCGCAUUAGCUAGUUGGUGAGGUAACGGCUCACCAAGGCAACGAUGCGUAGCCGACCUGAGAGGGUGAUCGGCCACACUGGGACUGAGACACGGCCCAGACUCCUACGGGAGGCAGCAGUAGGGAAUCUUCCGCAAUGGACGAAAGUCUGACGGAGCAACGCCGCGUGAGUGAUGAAGGCUUUCGGGUCGUAAAACUCUGUUGUUAGGGAAGAACAAGUGCUAGUUGAAUAAGCUGGCACCUUGACGGUACCUAACCAGAAAGCCACGGCUAACUACGUGCCAGCAGCCGCGGUAAUACGUAGGUGGCAAGCGUUAUCCGGAAUUAUUGGGCGUAAAGCGCGCGCAGGUGGUUUCUUAAGUCUGAUGUGAAAG